RNAcentral lists this long non-coding RNA (4330 nucleotides) under Sus scrofa (pig). RNAcentral's name for it is "lncRNA (ENSSSCG00000052571.1)". The record is from RNAcentral. Lineage: Eukaryota; Metazoa; Chordata; Mammalia; Artiodactyla; Suidae.
UCUUGAUGCUCUGCAUUUAUGGGGUCCCUCCACUGCCUUCAACCCUGUCUCAUGCCCGCGAAUGAAUAGCAUUUUUCAAAAGUUACACUUCAGAUUUUCUGAGUCUUCCCACUGUUAGAGAAUUCCUCUACUCUCUCAGCUCACUCUAGGACUCUCAGCUGCAUUCGCUACUUGGGUGAACUGGGAUGGUAAUUCUCAGUGCCACCAGGUAGCCCCAUUGAACAUCCUCAUCACUGCAGAUGUCCAAACUGACUCAUCUUACCUUCGCCAAGAGCGGCACCCUCCCUUGGCUUUCCUUCCUCUCAUUAGUAUCAAAUAUGGCAGAAAAAUAUUUCAUUACAUUAGCAAAUACAUUUUCCUCCUUAGUUUUUUUUAAUGAACAACUUUUCUCCCAUGAAAAAUCAGGAGGCUAAGACAUUCAGGACUUACUGCCUCAGAGCAAAUCUGGCAGAGUGGAAAUGUAAAGGGAAAGCAAAGAAUCAAAUUCUUGGCUUCUGGAGGGCUUUUGAAAUUCAUAGUAAGAAUAGUGUUGAAAGCCAAGAUUCUGGUUUGGAAAAGCCAGGCUUUUUCAGAUAGACUAGAGCUCUGAGUUCCGCAGGCAUAGUUUGGGACAUAAAGAGCAGAGUUUAAGAAAUUGGGACUUGAAAUUCUAGCCACUCAUGGCUUUUGUUUCUCCCUUUAAAUAUCAACUCAGCUACUCCCACAUCUUCACUCCUUCCUACCUGCCCUGCUCCAGGCUGAGCCCUCCCAACUCCAGGCCUGGGAUAUUGUAACUGCCCCUUGCUGAGCACAGUGGCAGUGACUCUAUCUUAUGCUCCCCCAUCCACCUUGCACAGCCCACCACAGUGGUCCUUCUAAAAUCCUACCUCAGGUCCUUCCAGUGUCUAUUCUUUGCCCUCAAAAAACAAUUUGCUUCAAUUCAAUACAUUUUGAACACCUGUUAGAUACUAGGAUUUGUGCUAGCUUGGGGUCAACCAGCUAAAACCCCUGGAACAAAUCAGGCCCACCAGUUUAUGUUUUCAUAAAUAAAAGUUUAUUGGAACACACUCACAUUUAAACAAUAUUGUCUGUGGCAGCUUUUGUACUAAGAAGGAAAAGUCAAGAAGCUGUAACAGAAGGGGUUUGGCCCCAAAAGCCUCAAAUAUGCACUACCAGGCCCUUUAUAGAAAAUGUUUAUUGACCCUUGUGCUAGAUGCUGAGGAUUCCACAGUGAGUGAAAUAGACAUGGUCCCCUGCUGCUUGUAGACCAAGGUGUUCCACCUCCAGCCCUUGCCUACCAUUUCUGCCCUGUCUCCCACUACCCUCUAUCCAAUUCCUCUGAGAAUACAGCAGGUCCUAGAUUUUGAAAUUCAAAGAUCAACAAAAACAAGUUUUUAAUCACAGAAGAUUGACACAGGAUUAUCAGAUAUCAUCUAAUAUUUCAACCAUUUUAUAAGGAGAAAACAUUUUUAAUAAUUUUUUUCUCAAAGUAUAGUUUAUUUACAAUGUUGUGCCAAUUUCUUCUGUACAGCAAAACAACCCAGUCAUACAUAUAUAUGCACUCCCUUUCUUAUAUUAUCUUCCAUCAUGGUCUAUCCCAAGAGACUGGAUAUGUUUCCAUGUGCUAUACAGUAGGACCUCAUUGGUUAUCCAUCUAUUAUUAUUAUUAUUAUUUUGUCUUUUUUUAGGGCCGCACCUGCAGCAUAUGGAGGUUUCCAGGCUAGGGGUCUAAUCAGAGCUGUAGCCGCCAGCCUACAUCAGAGCCACAGCAACGCAGGAUCCAAGCCACGUCUGCAACCUACACCAUAGCUCACGGCAAUGCCAGAGCUUAAACCACUGAGCAAGGCCAGGGAUUGAACCCACAACCUCAUGGUUCCUAGUCGGAUUUGUUAACCACUGUGCCAUGACGGGAACUCCUGGUUAUCCACCUAAAUGGAAGAGUUUGCAUCCGCUAACCCCAAACUCCCAAUCCAUCCCACUCCCUCCACUCUCCCCUUGGCAACCACACGUCUGUUCUCUAUGUCUGUGAGUCUGUUUCUGUUCUGUAUAUAGGUUCUUUGAGCCAUAUUUUAGAUUCCACAUAUAAGUGAUAUCAUAUGGUAUUUGUUUUUCUCUUCCUGACUUAACUUCACUUAGUGUGAGAAUCUCUGGUUGCAUCCAUGUUCCUUCAAAUGGCAUUAUUUUAUUCUUUUGAUGGCAAGUAAUAUUCCAUUGUAUGUAUGUACCACAUCUUCUUAUCCAUUUAUCUGUCAAUGAACAUUUAGUUUGUUUCCAUAUCAUGGCUUUUGUGACUAGUGCUGCUAUGAACAUACAGGUGCAUGAAUCUUUUCAAUUGUAGUUCUGACCAGAUAUAUACCUAGGAGUGGGAUUGUUGGAUCAUAUGGUAAUUCUAUUUUUAGUUUUCUGAGGAGUCUUCAUAUUGUUUUCUAUAGUGGUUGUACCAAUUUACAUUCCAGGAGGCUUCCCUUUUCUCCACACCCUCUUCGGCAUUUAUUUGCAGACUAAUUAGUGAUGGCCGUUCUGACCAGUGUGAGAUGGUAUCUCAUUGUAGUUUUGAUUUGUGUUUCUCUAAUAACUAGUGAUGUUGAGCAUUUUUUUCACAUGCUUACCUGCUGUCCAUGUUUUCUUUGGAGAAAUGUCUGUUUAGGUCUUCUGACCAUUUUUCAAUUGGGUUGUUAGUUUUUUUGUUGUAUGAGUUGUUUGCAUAUUUUGGAGAUUAAACCCUUGUCAGUUGCAUCAUUUGCAGCUAUGUUUUCCCAUUCUGCAGGCUGUCAUUAUUUCUUUUUUUUUUAAAUAGUUUCCUUUGCUAUGCAAAAGCAUAUAGGUUUGAUUAGGUCUCCAUUGGUUUAUUUCUGUUUUUACUUCUUAUUGUCUUGGAAGACUGACCUAAGAAAACAUUUGUAUGGUUUAUGUCAGAAAAUGUUUUACCUAUAUUCCCUUCUGGGAGUUUUAUGGUGUCAUGACUUAUAUUUAAGUCUUUAAGCCAUUUUGAGUUUAUUUUUGUGCGUGGUGUGAGAGUGUGUUCUAGUUUCAUUGAUUUAGAUACAGCUGUCCAGUCUUCCCAGUACCACUUACCAAAAAGACUGUCUUUUCCCAUUUUACAUUCUUGCCUCCUUUAUCAAAGAUUAAUUUAUUAUAGGUGUUUUGGUUUAUUUCUUGGCUAUUUUGUUCCAUUGAUCCACAUGUUUGUUUUUGUACCCAUACCAUACUGUCUUGAUUACUGUAGCUUUGUAACAUUGUUUGACGUUUGGGAGAAUUAUGUCUAAGGGAAAAAACAUUUUAACAUUAAAAAGCAGCAAGAAUAUCUCUAAAAAUAAAGAAGAAUUCCACAAGCUACAUUAGUUUUUAAAAAUUCAUUCUAUAGGCUCUAUUUUCCCCGUUAACAGUGACUGAUGACCAUUCGUGAUGAAUCAUCACAGGUCUAUGGGCAGGUACAUAGGAACCUUUGAUCUAGUCUAGGCAAAGUGGUUUACUUUGUAUUUAGCCAAAUUGGCUAUGACUCCUCCCAUGCAGUUUUGCAUCCAGAAAGCUCUUCCUCCUUUUCUCCUGCUCAUUGUUCAAAGCCCAGCUCCUCAGCAGCAAAAGCAUAAGCUUCCCUCCAGCAGCAUCUAAAGAUUCAACUGCUCACAGGAGCAGUCAGGCUGUCAGCAGAAAGAUAAGUGAUAUGGCUGGGGUAGCGCUCUCAGCCACAGGGCAGGUGACAAGGAUGGCCAAGAGGGCCGUCUGGAGUGAGGCCCUUUCCCUGGCACAUGCAGGUGAACCCAUUUGACACUGGUAUGCUGACACCCCCACAGAGAAGAUUCCACCCAAAUACCCAAGAGAUGAACACCAGCUUCCUAACAAGUCUCUCAGGUGACCCAGGAGCCCUGAGGGCCCCGGGCAGUAGCCAACUCCCAAUCAGCAGGCGGGUGGCGGCAGACACUGAGAGAGGUCGCCUUACUGGCAGGCAGCCCCAGGAUACUUGGUACUCACUGCUCACAUGAAGAUUCUGGAAUCCCCUUAUACGAUCCCGAGGUCUGUGGAAAAAUAAAUUAUGGCUCUAUGAUGAAGAUAAUCCCAGCAAGGCCUGGUGCCAAGCGGACUUUUCUGCCUGACUUUCCUUCAGGGACAAACAUUCUCCAGACACGCCUGCUGACCCAGCACCUCCUCCCUCCCCCAGUGUGUGUGAGAGAGAUCACUUUAGAACAGUAAGCUGCCUCCCUCUUUUUACCAGUGGGGGUGGUGCAGCAUUUCUCUAACUGCCUCCCCCCCCCCACAUUAGAGCAAGAGGUCUCAUCUUAUUGUCCUCCUGAGCUGGUUUAUAGCCAAGUUGUUUUGCUUCUCAAUUGCUUUAAUCAUUUUGAGACAAAUG